AUGGAUCGAGCCAAAAACUAUGAAAAUAACGAUGAAAAAGAUCAAGAUUCACUGAAUUCCAGUAGUCUCAACAGUGAACUACAUGAGGAGAAAGAGAAUGAGCUCCUGCUGGACGAAAAAUAUUUUCUACCCUCUGGUCAUCUUGAUUCAUCUGACAUAAGAACUUUUCAGAAGCUCUGUCGUCCCACCAGAUGA
This 195-nucleotide long non-coding RNA is filed under the name Ictidomys tridecemlineatus (thirteen-lined ground squirrel). RNAcentral's name for it is "lncRNA (ENSSTOG00000031119.1)". Lineage: Eukaryota; Metazoa; Chordata; Mammalia; Rodentia; Sciuridae. The record is from RNAcentral.